RNAcentral lists this ribosomal RNA (499 nucleotides) under uncultured bacterium. RNAcentral describes it as "SSU rRNA". It matches the Rfam family "Bacterial small subunit ribosomal RNA", at positions 26 to 523 of the family's 1533-position model. The record is from RNAcentral.
AGAGCGAACGUUAGCGGCGGGCCUAACACAUGCAAGUCGAACGAGAAUGAGGGGGCAACUCCUCUAGUAAAGUGGCGGACGGGUGCGUAACACGUGGGUAAUCUACCUUCCGGCGGGGGACAACAGUCCGAAAGGAUUGCUAAUACCGCAUACGUCAGCGAGGUCUACGGAUCUUGUUGGGAAAGAUGGCCUCUCCUUGGAAGCUGUCACCGGAAGAUGAGCCCGCGGCCCAUCAGCUAGUUGGUGAGGUAACGGCUCACCAAGGCAUAGACGGGUAGCUGGUCUGAAAGGACGACCAGCCACACUGGAACUGAGACACGGUCCAGACACCUACGGGUGGCAGCAGUCGAGAAUUUUUCACAAUGGGGAAACCCUGAUGGAGCGACGCCGCGUGGAGGAUGAAGGCCCUCGGGUCGUAAACUCCUGUCAUGCGGGAACAAGAAAGUGAUAGUACCGCAAGAGGAAGAGACGGCUAACUCUGUGCCAGCAGCCGCGGUAA